This 253-nucleotide ribosomal RNA is filed under the name uncultured bacterium. RNAcentral's name for it is "partial 16S ribosomal RNA". It matches the Rfam family "Bacterial small subunit ribosomal RNA", at positions 524 to 776 of the family's 1533-position model. The record is from RNAcentral.
UACAGAGGUCCCAAGCGUUGUUCGGAUUCAUCGGGCGUAAAGGGUGUGUAGGUGGCGCCGUAAGUCGGGUGUGAAAUUUCGGAGCUUAACUCCGAACCUGCAUUCGAUACUGCGGUGCUUGAGGACUGGAGAGGAGACUGGAAUUCAUGGUGUAGCAGUGAAAUGCGUAGAGAUCAUGAGGAAGACCAGUGGCGAAGGCGGGUCUCUGGACAGUUCCUGACACUGAGACACGAAGGCCAGGGGAGCAAACGGG